This is a long non-coding RNA of Oncorhynchus keta (chum salmon), 6525 nucleotides long. RefSeq lists it as uncharacterized. NCBI's taxonomy places the organism in Eukaryota, Metazoa, Chordata, Actinopteri, Salmoniformes, Salmonidae. The record is from RefSeq and is a predicted model, not a curated record. The transcript is spliced from 17 exons.
ACUGCUGAUAGCAGGCCCACUGUACCUGAGGUAGCAUCUCUAAUACUAUGGGGAAGGAUCUAUCUGUGACACGCGGGAAAGGGCGCUGUAAAUUAUUUAGAGAUUUACUUAGCUCGCUCGCUUUUCAUUGCACCAAAUGCAGAUUUGGGGGCCUCGAAGCAUGAAAGCCCAGAAACGCAAAUCGAGCACCCCAGAACCACAGCCCAUUAGUUCUAAAGCCUUAAAGAGGGAUGAGACAACCUGUGCCCCUCAGAUCUCCAACGGUAGUCCACUCUGAACUCUCUGUUAACAGACAUAUCUCAAUUUCCACCCCUGCUAAGGGAAAGGGCUUUGGGAUGACGGUCCCAGAUGGGGCUGUCACAAAGGAGACACUCUCCCAGGUUCAAGCAGAGGACCAUUGCUUCAUGUACGGAGGGAUGAGAAAAGGAAGGGGUAAUGGAAAAGAGAGAGGGAUGACAAGUAACACAGUGUGUGUUGCUGAGAUAUGAAGGGAUAUGGGAGUUUGUGUGCAAGGGCAUUUAAUUGGUUUUACAUGCUUCAGUGGUGGGAAUGUGAUCAUCUCCUAUCUCAUUGUUAUAUCUUAGUUUUGUGUCUGCUGCAGGCCAGCUUAAGAAUGGGGAUGUUUGUCAGCUAUAUCCCAGCCCCUCCGAGGCAGAAGAGGAGGAAUUAGCUGUAAAGCUACAGUUAUUUUCUCUCUGCCCCAUGGCAUUUUUUUUAUUUUUUAUUUGCAUGAAAUUAGUUAUUAAAUAGCUAAAUCUUCUCUUUGUCCCAAGACAAAAUAUGUAGAAUUGCAGCAAACUUGCUUUCCAACCCCCUUGGCAAAAUGUGUGGAAUUGCAGGAAAUUAGCUCUCUCCACUGUCAAGAGGGGCCCCGCUAAAAGGUUUUGCUCCCAACAAUUUCACGUAGGGCCCCCAAAAGUCUAGGGCUGGCUCUGACUGCGUGUGUGUGUGGGUAUGGAUGUUGGUAGUCAGCCCAGUGAGCCACUGCAGUCCCUCAUGAUGAGUUGCUCAUACCUGCUCUAUAGGAAGUGAACGUACCCAACAUUUUGGAAACACUGAAUCAGAUUUCUAGUGUAUGAGAAUUGGGUGUCUGUUUUGAUUACUUACUUCCGUCUGAAGAUGGAGAGGAAUGUGGGGGCCAGAGGCUGACAAUGAGGAAGAGCAGCUCGAAAAUGAAGAGCACUUUAGACAAUGUGCAGGAAGAGGGACACUCCGUGGCUGGAAAAAGGUCAUCGGAAGUUUCAUCCAGUGACAGCGAUGAGGAUGAGUUUGAGCAGCUGGAUCUGGAGAGGAAGUCACAGCAACACAACUUGACCUCCGUCAACGUUCACCCAUCCUCCAUGUGAAUUACCUGGAGUCUCAAUCCGGUUACACGCUCCAGCAGGAGGAGAUAACCAACGAGCAUGUAGUGGCCAUGACGAAAGCAGCCAUCCAGGAGAUGCAGGACCUAGCCCUAUUUGAGCCCAAGAUGACCCGCCCCAGACUGAAGGAGGGGGUAGAAAAAGGGGGGGUGGGUUUCUAGUUACACAACUUGCAGCUUAGGAAUAUUUCUCCUAUCAAAAGGGCCCUUGAAGUGAAGCCCCCCCAGUUUGUAGACAUCCCUCUGGAAGAGGAGGACGACUCCUCUGAUGAAGAGUACUGCCUUGAUAAGGAGGAUGAGACUGCAGAGGAGGUGAGGAAGAGCUUCAUCUCUGCUCCGUUAGUCAAUCAAUUCUGUUCAAUCAGUCAAAAGGGUGUGCUAUGUGACUACAAUGUCAUGCCUGUGACAUUGUCGUUUUGGAGCGACGUGGACAUCACAGGCUCAUCGCCAUGCUGUGCCCAAGUGGCGCAGCCCAGGACCCCUGGACACUCUGAGUGUGAAGAGGACAGAUUUCACAGUCCCAGACAGAAGCCAAGGCAGCCCAGACAUCUGAGGGUGGAGACUGUUCCUAAGGGGCCCCCGUCCUCCACUGGCCCUGCCCGGCCCCUCAGGGCCCAAGUCUGAACCUUCCUGGAGAAGCUUCACGCAGUGGAGGAAGAGCUGGAACUCAGCCCCAUCUGCACCGAAACCUUCCAGCCAUUGACUGGAGGUGCAGGGUUUAGCCUUGUGGCAUGUCGUACCUGCCCCAAACGGACCCUGAGGAACGUGCCUCUGGGCAAGCUGGAGGCGGAGCUACAUUCCCCUGACAUCACGCCUGACAUGUACGACUACAGCUUGGCCCUGGAGGACCGCGACUGGAGCAAGUGGCUGCAGGGCCUCAUGACAUCUGACAUGGAGAAUGACAGUUAAGAUUAAAAGAAAGGGAUAAUGAGGGAGCGUUCAAGGAUGGGCAGUGUAAUAUUGAAAUGGAAUAGUCCAACCAUCUAGAAACCGAUGCAACAGGAUUUUACGCUGUUGCUUAAUAAGGAACACAUCAUUCUCAAAAAUGGGCUAUGGAUUCAUUUUUUCUAGGAGCAAAUACUUUAUUAGUGAAAUGCACAAAAAAGUUGGCACUCCUCCAAACACUGACAAGUGUCAAGCAGGCAGUAGAAGACAGGUGGAGCUGCAUUUAACCUGUGUGUGUGUGUACAUGUUUUACGGGAGGUGUGUGUAGCUGGUUUAAUUGCUCUGUCAUGUUUUGCUAAUUUUGACCUUUCCCCCACUGCUCUGCUCCAGUUUGUCUCCUUCGCUUUUCGAGACGUUCUCGGAUGAUGAGCUAAUAGUGAAUGGGCAGGAUGACUAUGGGCACGAUGAAGAGAGGGAGGAAGCUGCUCCACCCCUGAGCGCUCCGCAAUUCAACGUUCCACAAGCCAUUCGGAGAAGCUCCAGGCGUUUACCCAGCAUGAGGAGGCGAUCAGGUCAGUCCGGGACACAGGCUUCAGCAGCAUUUUCAGGGCCUGAAACCUCCAGGGGGCACUGUCUCUGGUCCAGGAGCAGGAGAGCUCUGUCUCGCCAUCCGCUCUUUCUCCAACCCCCCCUGCCAGGCCUCAAACACGCUCUAACAAUGUGCGUACAUACCCUCUGCUGCCUGCUAAGACGGCCUGGCUGCUCACCACCUGCUCCGUCUUCCUCUAUUCAGAGCUCCUGCCCCACUGCAGCCUGGACCCUCCGCGCACCAAGAACAACAUCUACACACGCGGAGAGGACAGGUACGUGCACACACACUCAUUUACACAUGCAGCACGUCCUGUGUGGGGAGACAAACUCCACAGGAGCUCAUGUUCACAAACAACAGCAACCUGUUCAAAAACAAUCCUCAUUUACACACAGUCCCUGGUCAAAAAUAGCUAUGUCUUAUGUGAGUAUUUUAUGUCAGUGAUGCCUGCUCAGUAUUAAGUUGAAUAUAAACACUUAAAUGUGUGUUAACCCGUGUUGAAAAGAGAGGGUCUCUCUCUCUCAAACCCAUUCAAUGACCGUUCACUGACAUAGUUGGAACUAUGAGGGCCUAUGUCAUCUUUACUGCUACAACCAAGCAUCAAAUUCUUCCUUGCAUGGUUGAAUGUUUGACUAAAGACGAGAUAUUUACUCGCAAUGUGGAUUUUUGUCCCAUACUCAUUGUACUGGGGCUGAAGCACUUCAGCCAGACAGAGCUCCCCUACCAGCUCAUCACAGAUUACUGCACCUGUACAUAGCCCACCUAUAAUUUAGCCCAAACUACUACCUCUUUUCCUACUGUAUUUAAUUAAUUAAUUUUGCUCCUUUGCACCCCAUUAUUUUUAUUUCUACUUUGCACAUUCUUCCACUGCAAAACUACCAUUCCAGUGUUUUAAUUGCUAUAUUGUAUGUACUUUGCCACCAUGGCCUUUUUUUGCCUUUACCUCCCUUAUCUCACCUCAUUUGCUCACAUCGUAUAUAGACUUGUUUAUACUGUAUUAUUGACUGUAUGUUUGUUUUACACCAUGUGUAACUCUGUGUCGUUGUAUGUGUCGAACUGCUUUCCUUUAUCUUGGCCAGGUCGCAAUUGUAAGUGAGAACUUGUUCUCAACUUGCCUACCUGGUUAAAUAAAGGUCAAAUAAAAUAAAAAUAAAAAUGUGUCGCUACCUCAUCCGUACCAAGCGCAGUGUAGCUCUUCUCCCAGCUCCGUCCUGUCCUGGGGGAAUGGCCAGACCUCCUCAGAGACUUUGCGGCCUUCCUCCUCCCGGAGCAGGCUUUGUAGUGUGGCCUGUUUGAGGAGCAGCAGGCAUUUGAGCGGAGUCGACGCUUCCUGAGGCAGCUGGAGAUUAGUUUUGGGGGAAACCUGUCUCACUACCAGAAAAUCGUACGUGCUCUGCAGGGGGGACCUGGCCUCAGACCUGCCAGUAUAGAGGAGCUUAAAGCACAGGAUGUCCUCCCUCCUGAAAGGCCACACGCACUUUCAACGUGCCCAUACGCAGGGAAUUCUGGGUAUUUUUUGACGAGCUCCGCCCACCCCCAGCCCGUCCCGGGCAGUUUGAGGAGGCUUGUUGGCCAGACGAGGCAGGGGGCGGAAUAGACGGAGAUGAUGGUGUUGGUUUGGUUCGGGGGGUGGGGCAAGUGGUGGUUUUGAAGAAGUGACCCUCCCUGAUCUAGAGCAAGAAGAUAUUCCACCAAUGACGGGUCACAGUCAGAGGAAGAUGGGAUCUCAUUGCAUCUACAAGGAGUGUGAUUGGCCAGAAAAGGACUGCUUCUGCCUCUGUCAUGGUGCCAGCCAUGAUGCCAAGCUUCGCAGACUGAAGAUGAAAGGAUGCUCUCGCUGCCACGGCAACAAGGCUUCCGAUGGCGUCCCCAGGGUGAUGAAGAGCCUUGACACCUUCUACCCCACGGCAACCGACCCCACAGCCAAUCUCCACACUGAGACAGGUGGGGGGGGGUGAAGUCGACAGUGGGGUCAACAGUCCACAUUCUGAAGAGCAAGGAGCUCCUUCAUGGGAGGGUCCUGAGGAAGGCUCACUCUCCAUCCCUGAGGAGAAGGAAGAGGAGGAUGACAAAAUUGAGGAGGAUAAGGAUGGGGGGAGAGAACACAGCCCCUCGCCGAAGAGGAGUACGGGGGAUGGAGAAGGCUCGGGGGUGUCUGAUGGCCCCCCAACACCCUUUAGUGGGGAGAUGGAGAACCCCCUGCAGCCUUGUCCCAACCCCUCUUCUGAUCCCUGUGUGUGCCAAAAACAUCUCCCUCACUGCCAGUGGGGAGAAGGUCAUACUCUGGACAAGGGAGGCUGACCGUGUCAUUCUAACCACCUGUCAGCAGCAAGGUGCCAAUCAGAAGUACUUUCCAGGCAAUUUCCACCCAACUUGGCGAUAAAACACUCAAUGAGGUAUCUCGGUGGUUUCGGGACCUGUUGAGCCUGUUCCGCACCGCUGCCUGCCAGGUCAACAUAGAGGACGAAACUAUGGCCACUGAACAGCAGACAGUCACAGACAAGGAGCAGGACAGAACCAACCCAAAAAGGACAGAACCAAGUUCAGACACUUCAAAGGAGAGGAGCAAGAGAGGAUAUUUGUGACUGCAUUAUAUUCAUACCACAUACCACAGCUCGAAAGAUGGCAGCUUUUCAAGUUUACCAUAACCAAUUUUAAACAGUGAGCACUGUUGAAAUAAAUACACCCUUUGUCUUAUCACUCAAAUGCACUACUGAGGGACUAGGGUACACAGUCUCUUAGUGUGGCAAAGGUUAAGUAAGAGGUCGACCGAUUAAUCGGAAUGGCCGAUUAAUUAGGACUGAUUUCAAGUUUUCAUAACAAAUGGAAAUCGGUAUUUUUCGGCGCCAAUUUUUCAUAUUUUUAUAUACCUUUAUUUAACUACGCAAGUCAGUUAAGAACACAUUCUUAUUUUCAAUGACUGCCUAGGAACGGUGGGUUAAUUACUGCCUCGUUCAGGGGCAGAACGACAGAUUUUCACCAUGUCAGCUCGGGGGAUCCAAUCUCGAUAGUGGCUGUUCGUUGUGUUGCUGGUUCGAGCCCAGGGAGGAGCGAGGAGAGGGACGGAAGCUAUACUGUUACACUGGCAAUACUAAAGUGCCUAUAAGAACAUCUAAUAGUAAAAGGUUAAUGAAAUACAAAUGGUAUAAAGGGAAAUAGUCCUAUAUUUCCUAUAAUAACUACAAGCUCAAACUUCUUACCUGGUAAUAUUGAAGACUCAUGUUAAAAGGAACCACCAGUUUUCAUAUGUUCUCAUGUUCUUAGCAAGGAACUGAAACGUUAGCUUUCUUACAUAGCACAUAUUGCACUUUUACUUUCUUCUCCCACACUUUGUUUUUGCAUUAUUUAAACCAUUGAACUUGGUUCAUUAUUCGAGGCUAAAUGGAUUUUAUUGAUGUAUUAUAUUAAGUUAAAAUAAGUGUUCAUUCAGUAUUGUUAUAAUUGUCAUUAUUACAAAUACAUUUUUUUAAAUCGGCCGAUUAAUCGGCAUUGGCUUUUUUGGUCCUCCAAUAAUCGGUAUCGGUAUCAGUGUUGAAAAUUGGGUUUUAGUCCAGGAAUGUACAUGUUUUGUAUCCUUUUUUUUCCAGUUCUCCGAGUUGUGCAUGUAUGGUACAAUAUGGGAAAUAUGAACGGUAAUAAUACCUGUACAAUAGUUAUAUAUUUUAUACAAAAUAAACGUAAUUUAUCCGUU